ACGAACGCUGGCGGCGUGCUUAACACAUGCAAGUCGAGCGGAAAGGCCCUUUCGGGGGUCCUCGAGCGGCGAACGGGUGAGUAACACGUGAGUAAUCUGCCCUUCACUUGGGGAUAACCUCCGGAAACGGUGGCUAAUACCCGAUACGACCAUUCCUCGCAUGAGGUGGUGGUGGAAAGUUUUUCGGUGGGGGAUGUGCUCGCGGCCUAUCAGCUUGUUGGUGGGGUAAUGGCCUACCAAGGCUUCGACGGGUAGCCGGCCUGAGAGGGUGACCGGCCACACUGGGACUGAGACACGGCCCAGACUCCUACGGGAGGCAGCAGUGGGGAAUAUUGGACAAUGGGCGGAAGCCUGAUCCAGCAACGCCGCGUGAGGGAUGACGGCCUUCGGGUUGUAAACCUCUUUCACCUGUGACGAAGCGAAAGUGACGGUAGCAGGAGAAGAAGCACCGGCCAACUACGUG
This 463-nucleotide ribosomal RNA is filed under the name uncultured bacterium. Its description in RNAcentral is "partial 16S ribosomal RNA". It matches the Rfam family "Bacterial small subunit ribosomal RNA", at positions 29 to 507 of the family's 1533-position model. The record is from RNAcentral.